Molecule: long non-coding RNA, 2122 nt
Filed under: Anthonomus grandis grandis
Lineage: Eukaryota; Metazoa; Arthropoda; Insecta; Coleoptera; Curculionidae
Description: uncharacterized LOC126740119
Source: RNAcentral
UAUGGCAGCCAAAAUCCCCAUUAAUAAUCACCACCAAGUAAAAAUAAAUCUCAAUACCCAAAAAAACGAAAUAUAUAAAAUUUAAAGACAAAUCAAAACAUUUUACCCUUUUGUGUCAAAAAGUAAAUAUUGAAUGCCUUAAUCCACAGAAUAAAUGGGCCUAAGUAAUUCUUACCACCUAUUCUCUCAUCACUUGUUAUAAACACCCCACUGAUGGCGCUAAAAACUAAACUUAUUAAAUUAAAAUUUUUGGUUUAACUCAUUUUACGUACUUAAAUCUUAUAUUUAAAUUAAAUAUUAUCUUGCUAUCAACUAUUCUAAUUUUCUAACUUAAUAAAACUAAACCCAAAAAUCCGGAAUAAAGUUUUAAAUACAAAUAAAUUUUAAGGCCGGACCUGUGCAACUUUCCACGAGUGGUUGUGACUCAGAUCAGGCGUCUAACAAAAUAGUACGUAGGCGCAUGUGGUCAAAUUUUACGAAUCAAAUGUAUAAAUUCUUAAAAAAAUGCUUAAAACAUUUAUUUAUUUAAUGAAAUGAUUAAAUAUCGCUUAGAAUAUUAUUUUUUGACUCAUUCCACAUAAAAUUUUGCGAUUUAAACAUGCAUGUCAUGUGACAAUACAAGCAAAACCGGCGCACGGCACAUUCGCGGCACAUCAAAAAUUCUAAUAGAUCUCUGAACUGAACUAUAAUACCAUACUUACAGUUUGCAGUAUUAAAUUUAGAUUAUAUUGUAUUUUUUUAUCAUUUUUAAUAUUUUUUUAUCAUGCAGCAAAAUAUUUACUUGAGUGUAAAAAGUCAAGUAAAAACUAUUAUUAGAUUUGAAACUGUUACCUAAUAAAAAUGUAUCAUAUUUAUUACCUAAAAAAAUUUAAAAAUGUUGGGGGUGCCAACUUAGCAUUACUUAUCUGAUAUGCUUCAACAUUAAUAGUGUUUUGUGUCAGCCUUUUAAAUUAAUGGUGUACAAGACAAAAAUUAAACGUUGUAAAGUACCAUCCAACAUGAAUUUUUUUAUUUCCCUGAAUAAGCCUCUAGUUUGUGCCACUAUGUAUAAAGAAUUUUAUUAAAACAUUUUUGUUUGUUUGAAGAUUUUGUUUGAUAAUUUUUUUUUUAGAUAUUUUUAGUCAGAAUUCUUAGGAGAUUUUUUGUCAGGAGUCCGAAGAUAUCUUCAAUCAGGAUCAGGAUGUUAAACCUAUUGAUCAAAGUAUUUAGGAAACUAUACAUAUUGAAUUAGAUCAAAGUGAAGCAACACAAGUAUAAAUUAAUUUUAUGCAAACAAUAAAAAUAUGUUUAUUAAUGUUAAAAUUUAAUUUGCAUUAGGUAUAAAUGAAAUAUUAUAACAACAUAAAUUUAUAUUCUGAUAUAAUGUAUUUUGACUUUUUAAUUUAUCUUGUUUAUUAAAUAAUCAAAUCUUCUAAAUUAAAUUUGCCUAACUGAUUUUUGUAUAAUUUUGUAGCUUGGUUUAGAAAAACUUACAGAAACAGUUGAGGAAACACCCAAAAAAAGGAUUAAAAUAGAUCUAAGGAAUAGUAAAAACACAAACUCAUAUAUAAAGUCUGAUAUAUCAAUAGAAACUCCAUCACUUUUGUUGUACCAACCAUUACAAGAUAAUUAAUAUGAUAAUUUAGUAGCUGCAUCAAGCAAAAGAGGCAUAAGUACAGGGGAAAAUAAAGAAAAUCCGACACACCCUAAAUGAAACCCCCAGUUAUUAAAGAAGACUACAUCAAAACCAUUAAAUGUAAAAAGAAAAAAUCUGUUAACCAAAUUAGAGGCUGCCGAAAAAGUCUCUAUACUAUCAGGGGCAAGAAAAGAAUUAUUAGAGGUGCAGACAAGUUAUUUUAAGAAAGAGUUGGAUUUUCAAGAAAGGGAACACAACCUAAAAUUAUUGAAAGCUGACCAAGAGCUAAAAAAUGGUGCAUGCAAGACGUUUUCAAUUUAAUUAGAGCUUAGUUAUAUGUUAUCUUUGAUCAGUAUUACCAAAGAAUUUGUUAAUUUAGUUAGAAACAGUUGUUUGUGAUAACAAUGUUAUGUUUAUUAUAUUAUUGUUGACUUAUAUAACACUUAAUUAAGAAUUUGUUGAUUUAGGUCAAAGUUUAUUUUGCAAGAAGUUUUCAAUUUAAUUAGA